GGAGGUUCUUGCACCUCAGGAUCAGCCUGAAGGCUCCUGUAGAGGUCUACCAGGGGCAAAGGAGACAACACCAGAGCUGACCAGCUCCAUCUAGCAGCUUCAGCAGGAGACAGACACCUGGCAGCCCAAGGGCCAAAGGCAGACAUUGGUGCUGGAGCCACAGCAUGGGGAGCCCAGAGCAGGGCUGCCAGGACAUGCAGCAGGAAGACCUGGAUCCAGCUCAGGUGCUGGUCACAAUACAGGCAUUGCAGCUGGACCUGGACUUCUGCAGGGGCACAAACCACAAACAACUGGUCCAGCUGCAGGAGCAGGAGUGUGCAGUGGAGCAGGAGCACCAGGACUUGGUCAUUCUGAUGCAGCAGUUCCAGGCACUGAUGGGCAAGGUCAGUGGUACACCCCUCCACCUGAAGGACCAGGCAGUGCAGACAGAGGUCACCUCCUACUUGGCUGUCCACAGUGAUUUUGACACCAGCCACGAUAUCCCACAGGAGAAGCUGCUCAAGCAGCUGCAGGCACAGGAGCAGAGCCAGGGCCUGCAGCACAGCCCAGCCCGGCUGCAGGAGCAGCUGGGAGUCACCCAGGCCCAGGAGAAGCAGAGUCUGCAGCAGCUGAGCAGAGCCAAAGAGGCCAUCCAAGGCCUACACCAAAAAGUGGCAGAGCUGCAGCAACAGCUUUGCUGGCAGGUGCAGGACAUGGAGAACCUCCAGGCAGAGCUGGCCCAAGUCCGGCAAGAAAGCACCAAGCAGGCAGAAAAGAUUGCAGCCUACAAGAUACACAGGCAGAAGCUUCAUCAGGAGCUGAGGAAAAUGCAGAGCUUCAAGAAGCAGAGCAAACAGAAGACCUACUCUCUCCAGGAGAGGCUGCAGCAGCUGACCAGCCUAGUCCAACACUGGCAGCAGCUACACCUGGACAGUGAACGAACUCUGGCUCUGCGAGAAGAGGAGCUGGUUGUCUGCAAGGUGGAGCUGGCUUUCCUUAAGGAAGAGUUCAACAAGGUGACAGAGCAGGUGCAGGACACAAACAGGCAUUCAAGGCACACUAGGCAAGAUGCAGGAGGAGAACCCGUUCCUAAUGUUCAGAACACCUGAGCAAUCACACAAGUGUGAGCAGCUGAAAAA
Molecule: long non-coding RNA, 1118 nt
Filed under: Cyanistes caeruleus (blue tit)
Lineage: Eukaryota; Metazoa; Chordata; Aves; Passeriformes; Paridae
Description: lncRNA (ENSCCEG00000003979.1)
Source: RNAcentral